RNAcentral lists this ribosomal RNA (373 nucleotides) under uncultured bacterium. RNAcentral's name for it is "bacterial SSU rRNA". It matches the Rfam family "Bacterial small subunit ribosomal RNA", at positions 527 to 898 of the family's 1533-position model. The record is from RNAcentral.
AGAGGGGGCAAGCGUUGUUCGGAAUUACUGGGCGUAAAGGGCGCGUAGGCGGCCGCCUAAGUCAGACGUGAAAUCCCUCGGCUCAACCGGGGAACUGCGUCUGAUACUGGGUGGCUUGAAUCCGGGAGAGGGAUGCGGAAUUCCAGGUGUAGCGGUGAAAUGCGUAGAUAUCUGGAGGAACACCGGUGGCGAAGGCGGCAUCCUGGACCGGCAUUGACGCUGAGGCGCGAAAGCCAGGGGAGCAAACGGGAUUAGAUACCCCGGUAGUCCUGGCCCUAAACGAUGAGUGCUUGGUGUGGCGGGUAUCGAUCCCUGCCGUGCCGAAGCUAACGCAUUAAGCACUCCGCCUGGGGAGUACGGUCGCAAGGCUGAA